Molecule: ribosomal RNA, 707 nt
Filed under: uncultured archaeon
Lineage: Archaea
Description: bacterial SSU rRNA
Rfam family: Archaeal small subunit ribosomal RNA
Source: RNAcentral
CCGGAUAGGCAAUUUUUCCUGUAAUGGUUUUUUGUUUAAAUGUUUUUUCGCCUAAGGAUGGGUCUGCGGCCGAUUAGGUAGUUGGUUAGGUAAUGGCUUACCAAGCCGUUGAUCGGUACGGGUUGUGAGAGCAAGAGCCCGGAGAUGGAACCUGAGACAAGGUUCCAGGCCCUACGGGGUGCAGCAGGCGCGAAACCUCCGCAAUGUGAGAAAUCGCGACGGGGGGAUCCCAAGUGCCAUUCUUAACGGGAUGGCUUUUCAUUAGUGUAAAGAGCUUUUGGAAUAAGGGCUGGGCAAGACCGGUGCCAGCCGCCGCGGUAACACCGGCAGCUCUAGUGGUAGCAGUUUUUAUUGGGCCUAAAGCGUCCGUAGCCGGUUUAAUAAGUCUCUGGUGAAAUCCUGUAGCUUAACUGUGGGAAUUGCUGGAGAUACUAUUAGACUUGAGACCGGGAGAGGUUAGAGGUACUCCCAGGGUAGAGGUGAAAUUCUGUAAUCCUGGGAGGACCGCCUGUUGCGAAGGCGUCUAACUGGAACGGUUCUGACGGUGAGGGACGAAAGUUAGGGGCGCGAACCGGAUUAGAUACCCGGGUAGUCCUAACUGUAAACGAUGCGGACUUGGUGUUGGGGUGGCUUUGAGCUGCUUCAGUGCCGAAGGGAAGCUGUUAAGUCCGCCGCCUGGGAAGUACGGUCGCAAGACUGAAACUUAA